AUACGGAGGGUGCAAGCGUUAUCCGGAUUUAUUGGGUUUAAAGGGUGCGCAGGCGGACCUGUCAGUCAGUGGUGAAAUCCCGGGGCUCAACCCCGGAACUGCCAUUGAUACUACAGGUAUUGAAUACGGUUGAAGUAGGCGGAAUGUAGCAUGUAGCGGUGAAAUGCAUAGAUAUGCUACAGAACACCGAUCGCGAAGGCAGCUUACUAAGCCGAUAUUGACGCUCAGGCACGAAAGCGUGGGUAGCGAACAGGAUUAGAAACCCUAGUAGUCC
This 274-nucleotide ribosomal RNA is filed under the name uncultured bacterium. RNAcentral describes it as "partial 16S ribosomal RNA". It matches the Rfam family "Bacterial small subunit ribosomal RNA", at positions 523 to 796 of the family's 1533-position model. The record is from RNAcentral.